UGAGGAAUAUUGGUCAAUGGGCGGGAGCCUGAACCAGCCAAGUCGCGUGAAGGAAGAAGGAUCUAUGGUUCGUAAACUUCUUUUGCAGGGGAAUAAAGUGCAGGACGUGUCCUGUUUUGUAUGUACCCUGAGAAUAAGGAUCGGCUAACUCCGUGCCAGCAGCCGCGGUAAUACGGAGGAUCCGAGCGUUGUCCGGAUUUAUUGGGUUUAAAGGGUGCGUAGGUGGUUUGAUAAGUCAGCGGUGAAAGUUUGCAGCUUAACUGUAAAAAUGCCGUGGAAACUGUCGGACUUGAGUGUAAAUGAGGUAGGCGGAAUGCGUGGUGUAGCGGUGAAAUGCAUAGAUAUCACGCAGAACUCCGAUUACGAAGGCAGCUUACUAAGCUACAACUGACACUGAAGCACGAAAGCGUGGGGA
RNAcentral lists this ribosomal RNA (415 nucleotides) under uncultured bacterium. RNAcentral's name for it is "bacterial SSU rRNA". It matches the Rfam family "Bacterial small subunit ribosomal RNA", at positions 355 to 767 of the family's 1533-position model. The record is from RNAcentral.